RNAcentral lists this ribosomal RNA (375 nucleotides) under uncultured Desulfuromonadales bacterium. RNAcentral's name for it is "bacterial SSU rRNA". It matches the Rfam family "Bacterial small subunit ribosomal RNA", at positions 1005 to 1382 of the family's 1533-position model. Lineage: Bacteria; Pseudomonadati; Thermodesulfobacteriota; Desulfuromonadia; Desulfuromonadales. The record is from RNAcentral.
AAGCGAGGCGUGCCUUCGGGAGCCGUAAGACAGGUGCUGCAUGGCUGUCGUCAGCUCGUGUCGUGAGAUGUUGGUUAAGUCCCGCAACGAGCGCAACCCCUAUCCUCAGUUGCCAUCAUUAAGUUGGGCACUCUGUGGAGACUGCCGGUGUUAAACCGGAGGAAGGUGGGGAUGACGUCAAGUCCUCAUGGCCCUUAUGACCAGGGCUACACACGUGCUACAAUGGCCGGUACAAAGAGUUGCGAGACCGCGAGGUGGAGCCAAUCUCAGAAAGCCGGUCUCAGUUCGGAUUAGAGUCUGCAACUCGACUCUAUGAAGUUGGAAUCGCUAGUAAUCGCGGAUCAGCACGCCGCGGUGAAUACGUUCCCGGGCCUU